RNAcentral lists this ribosomal RNA (570 nucleotides) under Kluyveromyces lactis. Its description in RNAcentral is "partial 26S ribosomal RNA". It matches the Rfam family "Eukaryotic large subunit ribosomal RNA", at positions 37 to 648 of the family's 3401-position model. Lineage: Eukaryota; Fungi; Ascomycota; Saccharomycetes; Saccharomycetales; Saccharomycetaceae. The record is from RNAcentral.
UUCCUAUCUAUUAGCGGAGGAAACGAAACCACCCGGGAUCGCCUUAGUAACGGCGAGUGAAGCGGCAAAAGCUCAAAUUUGAAAUCUGGCGUCUUCGACGUCCGAGUUGUAAUUUGAAGAAGGCAACUUUGUAGCUGGUCCUUGUCUAUGUUCCUUGGAACAGGACGUCAUAGAGGGUGAGAAUCCCGUGUGGCGAGGAUCCCAGUUAUUUGUAAAGUGCUUUCGACGAGUCGAGUUGUUUGGGAAUGCAGCUCUAAGUGGGUGGUAAAUUCCAUCUAAAGCUAAAUAUUGGCGAGAGACCGAUAGCGAACAAGUACAGUGAUGGAAAGAUGAAAAGAACUUUGAAAAGAGAGUGAAAAAGUACGUGAAAUUGUUGAAAGGGAAGGGCAUUUGAUCAGACAUGGCGUUUGCUUCGGCUUUCGCUGGGCCAGCAUCAGUUUUAGCGGUUGGAUAAAUCCUCGGGAAUGUGGCUCUGCUUCGGUAGAGUGUUAUAGCCCGUGGGAAUACAGCCAGCUGGGACUGAGGAUUGCGACUUUUGUCAAGGAUGCUGGCGUAAUGGUUAAAUGCCGC